ACACCUAUAUUAAGGAAAACCACAUAAAAACAGAAAAAGAAUCAACAGUUAACCAUACCGAUCAUAUGAUUAUAUCAUGGCUAUUGAGCAAGAAGUACAUACCUUGUUAUACAGAAUAACUCCCGAGGAUAGCGUUAUAUAUACUAAGAGAUACAGGUAUGUUAGCAGAAGGUGUUUGCUGAUCAUUGUACCUAUUUUGGUCCCUUUAAAUCUAAGCACUCAUGCCCUGAAUACCACGUCCUGAAAUUUGUCACUACUUAAACUAACUAAACUAGUUAUUUUACAACAAAUCGACUGAACAGGAUGCUAUAUCUGCUGAGGGUGUUCUCAUUCAUUCCCUUGAUAAGUGACAAAAAUUCGCUUUUCUGGGCAAAAUAGCUGAGGUUGCAACUCCAACAGCCAUCCGAACCUAGAAAAAAGUACCAAAAUCAAGCGGAUAGUCAGAAAUCAUUAAUCCAUCUCCAAGAAUCAUCACCAAAAGAAAAAUUAACAGCGCGACUCCAUCACAAAUGAAUUAAGGUCCAUUAUAAUCACACUUUAUCAAUAAUUUCAUCAAUAAUCUACGUUUUCCGGGAAAUACACCAAAAUUAGCAGCUACAGGCUGGCAUUGAGAAGAAACGUCCCCAAACAUUACAACAAACACGUAGCGCGCAAAGUCCAAAGUCAGUAUAUUAGUGAAUCAGCAGAAUUUGAGAAAGAUCGAACCUGAAUACUACAAUUAGAGCUGCAACUUCAACUGGGCCUCCGUAAAGCCAGUCGAUUUGAGUUGGGUCUAAGGAAAAAUCGGUGAUGACGAUUCAAUUCCUAUUAGGGGGAAACAGUACAAAAAUCUUGCUAGUCGCUCGAGGAAGUUAGAACUCUCGCAGCUAACAAUGGAUUUAGGAUCUACAAUUUUUGUGCAAUAUGUUGGAGAAAAGUAGGAUUUAGUGAGGAAAAUGUGAAAACACUGAACGAAUCUUGGGUGGCGAUGAAUCAGAGAAGUAAAAACCUCUUCCAGAUCUCAGUGCUUCGCUAAUAGUAAUGGCGAUGUGUGUUUUAUAAGUAUUUUCGUUUUCCUCUUCAGUUUUCAACCACGUUAAACUUUUCGGAUUUAUUUCUUCGCUUUU
Molecule: long non-coding RNA, 1106 nt
Filed under: Salvia miltiorrhiza (redroot sage)
Lineage: Eukaryota; Viridiplantae; Streptophyta; Magnoliopsida; Lamiales; Lamiaceae
Description: long non-coding RNA (SMIL_LNC008181)
Source: RNAcentral